GGGCUUGUACCGGUUUCGACGGGGGUCUAGAACUUAGGAUAGCCAUCCGCGGCCUCAUACCGCGUCACCAAAUGAGAAAUUAAAUUUAAACGCAGACAAUAGUUUCGCGUUCGCAGCCUAAGCGCUGCGUGUCGCCCGCUUGUAGCCUACUGCAUGCGGAUACGGCAUCAAUGAGGUAGGGAACUUCGCCCGCAAAGCUUUGAGCGGGUGGAAGAACUAUGAAGCUACCGGCGUUGUCGGUUUGUCAGGUGUCUGACAGCUCCGGGAAACCUUAAGCAACUGACUGCGAUGGGAGAAGUCUUAACGGAAGGGCUUUCGGACGCGGGUUCGACUCCCGCCAGGUCCACU
RNAcentral lists this transfer-messenger RNA (348 nucleotides) under bovine gut metagenome. It matches the Rfam family "transfer-messenger RNA". From Rfam's summary of the family: Bacterial tmRNA, also known as 10Sa RNA or SsrA, is named for its dual tRNA and mRNA-like properties. The record is from RNAcentral.